ACGAUGCGUGUGUGUCCACAAUGGGCGUCUGUGUGACGCUAUCAGCCUCUGGGAGUCCCCAAUUGGACCAAACAAAGCAGAGUGUUCAUUUCCUGAACAAACGCCUCACAGUGCGCCACCAUUGGGUGGAGCGCCUUCAAAUUCAUAGCGCUCCGUUCCUUCGGACUGUUGCCCUCUAGCAUGGAUCCUCUGUUUUAUGAUAACACUAAUGCUAUUCAUUAUAAUUAUAACUAUGACUGCUCUCAGUCAGCACACACGGUAAUCCACAAAGGUCGAGACAACUGGACUCUUAUGGUUUGUUAAACGUGUUGGGUUUAUUCUUGUUUUGUGUAAAAAAAAGGACUUAUUAGGCCGUAUGUGUCAGUCAGAAGCACGAAGAAAGUAAUUUAUGAAAAAUAUAAAGGAAGGAAACGGAAAUCAUCGACAGGCCACAUUGUUUAUUUUUCUCCCAGUGAUGUGUAAGUGUCAGCAGAGGGCGCUGUGGUCAGGCGUACAGUCGAUUGCGUUGUCACGGUGGUUCUCAAUGCGAUUAAUUAAAAGUCAUGGUUAGCAUGUUUUCUUCGUUCUUGAACGGUGCACGUCUGUUAUCCAUACAAAGGCUAACCACCACGGCGCGCCGCUCAAACUGCGUCCUUUUAAAGGCAGCAGCCAGGACUACCAGCACCUCGACAGAUCUUGUCGGCGUUUCUGAGACCGCGUGGGCUGCCGCCAAACUGCCAUCUUGGGCCUGUGAGUGAGUGUAAAAAUACCACCUAUGAGAGGCGUAAAUAAACAUUCUGGAGUGGGAAAACAAAAGCCAAGAAUGGCGGCUGACUAACAUGCCCGCAGAAACACACUCUCUCGCUCAACUUUUUUAGCUUAAAGCAUUGUAACGUGUUAACCUUGAAGGUUUAUAGCUUGUUUCCUUUUUAGACAACGUUUUGGCAUUUCAUCUUAUUUCCUUUCCACUCUGUAGAAUUGCAGCCGAUUAGCAUUUUAGCCAAAGACUCCACAUUUUUAAUCACAAGAGAGAGCCUUUAGAGGGGGGGUGAAAUUUAUGGAUUGGUUCCAUUUCGGGCUCAUCAUUUCGUACCCAAAGAUUGGCUUCAUCUCACCAUCCAGAAAAUGGAUGCAGGGCUCCAUGAUGUCCAAACGGGCCAAAAUCAUCCGCCACCACCUCCUCGUCGUUUUUAUUAAGGUUACUGGAGAGUUUGAGGGGUUCUGCUGACCCACUUUUCCUCCAAGCCAUUUUUUUAAAAUUCCGGAAUUCCCCGCCGCUUGUCAGGGAUGCUUCUGCUUACUUGGACCAAGAUGCGCAUACGA
This is a long non-coding RNA of Hippocampus zosterae (dwarf seahorse), 1302 nucleotides long. RefSeq lists it as uncharacterized. The record is from RefSeq and is a predicted model, not a curated record. Lineage: Eukaryota; Metazoa; Chordata; Actinopteri; Syngnathiformes; Syngnathidae. The transcript has 3 exons.